UGGGGAAUUUUGGACAAUGGGCGCAAGCCUGAUCCAGCUAUUCCGCGUGUGGGAUGAAGGCCCUCGGGUUGUAAACCNCUUUUGUUAGAGAACGAAAAGACACCUUUUAAUAAAGGGUGUUGCUGACGGUACUCUAAGAAUAAGCACCGGCUAACUACGUGCC
RNAcentral lists this ribosomal RNA (163 nucleotides) under uncultured bacterium. Its description in RNAcentral is "partial 16S ribosomal RNA". It matches the Rfam family "Bacterial small subunit ribosomal RNA", at positions 355 to 509 of the family's 1533-position model. The record is from RNAcentral.